This 73-nucleotide transfer RNA is filed under the name Dipodomys ordii (Ord's kangaroo rat). It matches the Rfam family "tRNA". From Rfam's summary of the family: Transfer RNA (tRNA) molecules are approximately 80 nucleotides in length. Their secondary structure includes four short double-helical elements and three loops (D, anti-codon, and T loops). Further hydrogen bonds mediate the characteristic L-shaped molecular structure. tRNAs have two regions of fundamental functional importance: the anti-codon, which is responsible for specific mRNA codon recognition, and the 3' end, to which the tRNAs corresponding amino acid is attached (by aminoacyl-tRNA synthetases). tRNAs cope with the degeneracy of the genetic code in two manners: having more than one tRNA (with a specific anti-codon) for a particular amino acid; and 'wobble' base-pairing, i.e. permitting non-standard base-pairing at the 3rd anti-codon position. Lineage: Eukaryota; Metazoa; Chordata; Mammalia; Rodentia; Heteromyidae. The record is from Rfam by way of RNAcentral.
UGGCAUGUGGCUCAAGAGAUAGAGCAUAUGCCUGGAAUGCACAAGUUCCUGAGUUCAAAUCCCAGUAUCUCCA